CAAUAAUUAAGUUGGGAAUCAGAUAACUAACAGUACCUAAAUAGUAAAGAAUAAUAUUGGGAGUACAAAGCUAAAGUCCAUAUAGAUUAAAGAGUAAAGAAAGGAAAAAUUGCACAAAUCAAACUCGGAAAACCUUAGCUAUGGAAUAAGCAGCAGCAGAAGCUAUGGCUCCUAUGAAGGCAGUUUGUAUAGCACUCUUCAAGGGUUGCUCACCAGUAAAGUGACCCUUAAUGAACCCAAAUAUUAGUAAUGCCAGAAUCGUUAUUAGAAUUGAUGCAAUAACUGCAUCUUUAGCAACUGGAAAGAUCAUGUAUGGUGAAAGAGGUAUCAAUCCACCAAUUAUGUAAGAUAUGGCAAUUGUUAAUGCACUCUGUAAUGCUCUCAUUGGGUCUGGUUUCUCCAGUCCUAGUUCAAACCUGCAUUAACAUUACUUUCGUACUAAUUUCAUUGAAAUGCUAAAUUAAUAAAUAUAAAGAUAAAAUCAUAAAGAUUUACUUCAUCAUGAACUUAAGCCAAUGUUGAGGGUUCCUCCUCAGAGCAUUGACCACAGCCUCAUAUUCAUGUGGCUCAACUCCAUACUCAGCUAAUAUUUCUCCACAUUCAGCAGCCUCUGCACAGAGAUUUAUGUAAGAAUCGCAAAACAGAUUUUUUUUUCCCCGUUCAUAAAACUAAAAAUGAUGAUGAGAAAUAAUGAAGGAAGCAUCCCUAAACCUGCAUCCGGGACACUGAUGAUCUCUUCUUCUUCUCGUUUUAGUUCCCUCAUGUAGUGGUCAGCUUCACUUUUGGCUGCAAGGUACCCUCCAAGCCCCAUGGAGAUGGCACCGGCAGCAACUUCGGCAAUGCCGGCGAUGAGAAUGAUGCUUGAUGUGACAUUGGCUCCGGACAAGCCAGCGGCGAGGGCAAAAGGGACGGUGAGACCAUCAGAGACUCCAAUAAUGAUGUCACGGAUAAUCUCACUAGAGGUGAAGUGUUUCUCUUCAUGUUGUUGUAGAAGCAAUUUCUGCUUCUCUAGAUCCGUAUACCCAUUUUCUGCCAUUAAAAUUUGGUAAUUGAUUAGGAACUUGAUGUAUGUGAAAACUGCAAAUCCCCUGUUUCCAGUUUCUCUGCGUCUCUG
This 1114-nucleotide unclassified non-coding RNA is filed under the name Hevea brasiliensis (rubber tree). Lineage: Eukaryota; Viridiplantae; Streptophyta; Magnoliopsida; Malpighiales; Euphorbiaceae. The record is from RNAcentral.